UACGUAGGGUGCGAGCGUUGUCCGGAAUUAUUGGGCGUAAAGAGCUUGUAGGCGGUUUGUCGCGUCUGCUGUGAAAAUCCGGGGCUCAACCCCGGACUUGCAGUGGGUACGGGCAGACUAGAGUGUGGUAGGGGAGACUGGAAUUCCUGGUGUAGCGGUGAAAUGCGCAGAUAUCAGGAGGAACACCGAUGGCGAAGGCAGGUCUCUGGGCCACUAC
Molecule: ribosomal RNA, 217 nt
Filed under: uncultured bacterium
Lineage: Bacteria
Description: partial 16S ribosomal RNA
Rfam family: Bacterial small subunit ribosomal RNA
Source: RNAcentral